AUUUAUAUAGUAUAAAAAGUAUUACUGACUUCCAAUUAGUAGGUCUAAUAAAUUAGUAUAAAUA
Molecule: transfer RNA, 64 nt
Filed under: Thienemanniella sp.
Lineage: Eukaryota; Metazoa; Arthropoda; Insecta; Diptera; Chironomidae
Also listed under: 1 other name
Description: tRNA-Gly
Source: RNAcentral